UGUGUGUAGUAUGGGAUUGCAGAUACUUGUAUUCUGUCUUAACCUCUUUUUUAUAAACAACCAGGGCUGCAUUUCUCAAAACCAUUGUAAGCCGAUGUAGGUCAUAGAACUAUUGGCACCAAUGGUCUCUACAAUCAAAUUAACUCACGAUGCUUUUGAGAAAUGCAGCUCUGUAUAAAGGAAAUAAUCAGUUAUCAGGCUAACUUGGGUGUUUCUAUACAUAUUGAUUUCAUUGAAAGAUUUUUGGGGGUGAGCUUAAGAAAUAAAAACUGAAGUAUAUCCCGUAUCAGCAGGUUGAAAAUGAAAAUCGGGUUGACGUCUAAACCCAAUGUUUGUUUGACAUCAAGCUGCAAAGUUGGGCAGAUGUUGAAUUUUGGAUGGAAUAAACACCACAAAAAAAAGUGAAACGCAUGGCAGCACAAGGUGCCAAACAAAAUGAAGACAGUAUAUGAUCACUCUAUGCUGAUUAUAUUUUUAUCAUCAACAAGUAACCAUCAUCUGAUCAUAUAUUGUAUUGCUUUUCUUGCCAUAACUAACACAAUUAUAUCAGCCAGAAAAAAAGAAAAAAUAACAAAAAAAAAUGUUAAAAAUUCAAGAGUCAAACUGAAAACAAACGCUGAUCACCAUAAUGGUGAUGUUUUCAACAAAUCGAAACAAGCUAAACUUUUUCAACAAAUCAUUAACUUUUAAUCCUCUAUUAAUUCUCAAUAAGAGCUUCUGUAGACGUAUGACAGAAAUAAAGUCAGUCUGGUUAGUAAUAGUGAAGCUGGUAGUAAUAAGUGAUGCUGCCAUGCAUUUCACCCUUUUUUAGUUUUUUUUUUUUUUUUUUUUUUUUUUUACCAUGCAGUGCUUAUUACAACCAAAAUUUGACAUCUGUCUGAAAUUGGAGCUUGACGUCAAACAAACGCUGGAUUUAGGUUCUAAUUUUCAAACAAAAUCUGACGUUUGACCAACGUUGGAUUAGUUGGAGUCCAAUGUCUUAUUGACAUAAACAUACUGUGCCUGCUGGGAUAGUUCAGACAAACUAAACAGAUUUCCAAAUAAAAAUCUGAUCACCUUUUUUUUUUCUUUUUUUAAGGAGAAACAGGUGGAUGAAAAAGAGAAAUGACACACAGGAGUCUCAGAUGAAUCAUGACAGACGCAAAGCUUGUGAUGUUGAAUUGACUGAACCUGUGUAUCAAAAUGUAAUGCUUGACGGGAAGAUGUCAUAGUGUGGUACACAUAGCGAAACAUUUUACAGCUUUCUGUAUCUCUGAUGUGUGGAGCCCUGAAAAGCAACAUGAAUUGAUAAAAAAAAGUGUGUAAUUAAGUGUUUUAAACAUUGACAUCAAAUGUUUUAAACAUUAAAAACAUUGACAGCCAAUCAGAAUCCAUCCUGCUUUAAAGAACUUGAGCAUUUAAAGUGACAGAAUAAACAUAACUGUGAACGAGCCUUAAGCCUCAUUGUUUAUGUUUUCAAAGCAGAAAAUAAAGAUCUGAUAUUGCAGUA
Long non-coding RNA from Ctenopharyngodon idella (grass carp), 1489 nucleotides. RefSeq lists it as uncharacterized. NCBI's taxonomy places the organism in Eukaryota, Metazoa, Chordata, Actinopteri, Cypriniformes, Xenocyprididae. The record is from RefSeq and is a predicted model, not a curated record. The transcript is spliced from 3 exons.